CACUAUCGUUAACUGAAUACAUAGGUUAACGAGGCGAACCGGGGGAACUGAAACAUCUAAGUACCCCGAGGAAAAGAAAUCAACCGAGAUUCCCCCAGUAGCGGCGAGCGAACGGGGAGCAGCCCGGAGUCUGAAUCAGCUUGUGUGUUAGUGGAAGCGUCUGGAAAGUCGCACGGUACAGGGUGACAGUCCCGUACACGAAAAUGCACAGGUUGUGAACUCGAAGAGUAGGGCGGGACACGUGGUAUCCUGUCUGAAUAUGGGGGGACCAUCCUCCAAGGCUAAAUACUCCUGACUGACCGAUAGUGAACCAGUACCGUGAGGGAAAGGCGAAAAGAACCCCGGCGAGGGGAGUGAAAAAGAACCUGAAACCGUGUACGUACAAGCAGUGGGAGCACCUUCGUGGUGUGACUGCGUACCUUUUGUAUAAUGGGUCAGCGACUUAUAUUCUGUAGCAAGGUUAACCGUAUAGGGGAGCCGCAGGGAAACCGAGUCUUAACUGGGCGUUAAGUUGCAGGGUAUAGACCCGAAACCCGGUGAUCUAGCCAUGGGCAGGUUGAAGGUUGGGUAACACUAACUGGAGGACCGAACCGACUAAUGUUGAAAAAUUAGCGGAUGACCUGUGGCUGGGGGUGAAAGGCCAAUCAAACCGGGAGAUAGCUGGUUCUCCCCGAAAGCUAUUUAGGUAGCGCCUCGUGAACUCAUCUUCGGGGGUAGAGCACUGUUUCGGCUAGGGGGCCAUCCCGGCUUACCAACCCGAUGCAAACUACGAAUACCGAAGAAUGUUAUCACGGGAGACACACGGCGGGUGCUAACGUCCGUCGUGAAGAGGGAAACAACCCAGACCGCCAGCUAAGGUCCCAAAGUCAUGGUUAAGUGGGAAACGAUGUGGGAAGGCACAGACAGCCAGGAUGUUGGCUUAGAAGCAGCCAUCAUUUAAAGAAAGCGUAAUAGCUCACUGGUCGAGUCGGCCUGCGCGGAAGAUGUAACGGGGCUAAACCAUGCACCGAAGCUGCGGCAGCGACGCUUAUGCGUUGUUGGGUAGGGGAGCGUUCUGUAAGCCGUUGAAGGUGUGCUGUGAGGCAUGCUGGAGGUAUCAGAAGUGCGAAUGCUGACAUAAGUAACGAUAAAGCGGGUGAAAAGCCCGCUCGCCGGAAGACCAAGGGUUCCUGUCCAACGUUAAUCGGGGCAGGGUGAGUCGACCCCUAAGGCGAGGCCGAAAGGCGUAGUCGAUGGGAAACAGGUUAAUAUUCCUGUACUUGGUGUUACUGCGAAGGGGGGACGGAGAAGGCUAUGUCAGCCGGGCGACGGUUGUCCCGGUUUAAGCGUGUAGGUGUGUGUUCCAGGCAAAUCCGGUUCACUUUAACACUGAGGCGUGAUGACGAGGCACUACGGUGCUGAAGUGAUAAAUGCCCUGCUUCCAGGAAAAGCCUCUAAGCAUCAGGUAACACGAAAUCGUACCCCAAACCGACACAGGUGGUCAGGUAGAGAAUACCAAGGCGCUUGAGAGAACUCGGGUGAAGGAACUAGGCAAAAUGGUGCCGUAACUUCGGGAGAAGGCACGCUGAUAUGUAGGUGAAGUCCCUGCGGACGGAGCUGAAAUCAGUCGAAGAUACCAGCUGGCUGCAACUGUUUAUUAAAAACACAGCACUGUGCAAACACGAAAGUGGACGUAUACGGUGUGACGCCUGCCCGGUGCCGGAAGGUUAAUUGAUGGGGUUAGCGGCAACGCGAAGCUCUUGAUCGAAGCCCCGGUAAACGGCGGCCGUAACUAUAACGGUCCUAAGGUAGCGAAAUUCCUUGUCGGGUAAGUUCCGACCUGCACGAAUGGCGUAAUGAUGGCCAGGCUGUCUCCACCCGAGACUCAGUGAAAUUGAACUCGCUGUGAAGAUGCAGUGUACCCGCGGCAAGACGGAAAGACCCCGUGAACCUUUACUAUAGCUUGACACUGAACACUGGUCCUUGAUGUGUAGGAUAGGUGGGAGGCUUUGAAGCGUGGACGCCAGUCUGCGUGGAGCCGUCCUUGAAAUACCACCCUUUAAUGGCUGGUGUUCUAACGUGGACCCGUGAUCCGGGUUGCGGACAGUGUCUGGUGGGUAGUUUGACUGGGGCGGUCUCCUCCCAAAGAGUAACGGAGGAGCACGAAGGUUAGCUAAUCCUGGUCGGACAUCAGGAGGUUAGUGCAAUGGCAUAAGCUAGCUUGACUGCGAGAGUGACGGCUCGAGCAGGUGCGAAAGCAGGUCAUAGUGAUCCGGUGGUUCUGAAUGGAAGGGCCAUCGCUCAACGGAUAAAAGGUACUCCGGGGAUAACAGGCUGAUACCGCCCAAGAGUUCAUAUCGACGGCGGUGUUUGGCACCUCGAUGUCGGCUCAUCACAUCCUGGGGCUGAAGUAGGUCCCAAGGGUAUGGCUGUUCGCCAUUUAAAGUGGUACGCGAGCUGGGUUUAGAACGUCGUGAGACAGUUCGGUCCCUAUCUGCCGUGGGCGCUGGAGAAUUGAGGGGGGCUGCUCCUAGUACGAGAGGACCGGAGUGGACGCAUCACUGGUGUUCGGGUUGUCAUGCCAAUGGCACUGCCCGGUAGCUAAAUGCGGAAGAGAUAAGUGCUGAAAGCAUCUAAGCACGAAACUUGCCCCGAGAUGAGUUCUCCCUGAGACUUUAAGUCUCCUGAAGGAACGUUGAAGACGACGACGUUGAUAGGCCGGGUGUGUAAGCGCAGCGAUGCGUUGAGCUAACCGGUACUAAUGAACCGUGAGGCUUAACCUU
RNAcentral lists this ribosomal RNA (2762 nucleotides) under Enterobacter cloacae. RNAcentral's name for it is "bacterial LSU rRNA". It matches the Rfam family "Bacterial large subunit ribosomal RNA". The record is from RNAcentral. Lineage: Bacteria; Pseudomonadati; Pseudomonadota; Gammaproteobacteria; Enterobacterales; Enterobacteriaceae.